GGCGGCGUAGCUCAGCUGGCUAGAGUACUCGGUUCAUACCCGAUUGGUCGGUGGUUCGAAUCCACUCGCCGCUACCA
This 77-nucleotide transfer RNA is filed under the name Christensenellaceae bacterium. RNAcentral's name for it is "tRNA-Met". It matches the Rfam family "tRNA". From Rfam's summary of the family: Transfer RNA (tRNA) molecules are approximately 80 nucleotides in length. Their secondary structure includes four short double-helical elements and three loops (D, anti-codon, and T loops). Further hydrogen bonds mediate the characteristic L-shaped molecular structure. tRNAs have two regions of fundamental functional importance: the anti-codon, which is responsible for specific mRNA codon recognition, and the 3' end, to which the tRNAs corresponding amino acid is attached (by aminoacyl-tRNA synthetases). tRNAs cope with the degeneracy of the genetic code in two manners: having more than one tRNA (with a specific anti-codon) for a particular amino acid; and 'wobble' base-pairing, i.e. permitting non-standard base-pairing at the 3rd anti-codon position. The record is from RNAcentral. Lineage: Bacteria; Bacillati; Bacillota; Clostridia; Christensenellales; Christensenellaceae. RNAcentral also lists the same sequence under 2 other names.